AGAGAUGGAGACUAACGUCUUCCAAGGGAGAUUGCGUCUCCACUUUCACCCUGGUACUGAGAGGUUGAGCACAAAAUUGGUAACCAAUGCUGCGCUUCCAGCAAAUUUUCCCACCAGCACCCAAUCCUGGGAUAUUUAUUCUCUUUGUCUCACAUCCUACAGGAACGCAGUCGCGGGGUAUAUCCCCCUGAAAACCAUUGGCCUGGGGUACAUCAUCUAAAGAUCCUAGGAUUGCUGCAGGUCAGCAGUCUCCACUGGAAAAAAAGAUCUUGCAUGUAUUUCAAGUCCUCUGAUGAAUCAUGUGAUCUACUAGACCCUGAAGAUACAGUGAAGAGCAAAAGAACACAGAUGAAAUGAGAAACAAAAACGAUGGAGAAAACCAAAAAAGGGGACACAUGGGAUCCAGGCAAUAGGAGAGCCAGCAUAAGAGAGAGCCAGAGGGAUGCCCAGGAUGAGGUGAAGACGAUCUUGGAAAUCAGCCCAGAUGUGCAUGCACCAGUCCACGUGUGGCAGGACCAAGGGAAGUGUCUUCACAAAGAUGAGGCUUUGAUUUGUUGGAGAAACUGUUACCAGAAAAACAGGUCCCGAUCCCGACCCCAAAAGAGUAUUCUUGGAUCUUGCACAGGAAGGAAUUAAAGGGAAGUAAGAAGUUACAGCUCAGUGCACCAUGAAGUUGAGACAGAGAUGGAGACAUCCCAGCACCACUUCUCUGGAACAGGAAAGGUGAUCGGGGAAGGAAUGUAGCCUGAGAGUAGCUCCCUCCUUUUCUAUCUGCGGGAAGAAAACGUCCUGUGAGAGGCCAGGAAGGUAGCAGGGCCAUGAGGUCCUAGAGGAACCUCCUAGUCUUGGAACCUUGAGAAGUUUCCAGAAAUGUGUGACUGCAAACCAAGGGCAGGAUCAGGAAAAACAAGGAAAGCAGAUGUGGGUCCUGGACCAACUGCCCUCCUAAGGUCUGUCCUCAGCAGGGACCUUCCCCUGACCUGUGAUUACUGGGGUCAGAUCCCCAUCACUACAAUCAUCAAGCAGUGACCACAGCUCCAGUGACCACAGCUCCAAGGAGAACCAGCCCGGGAGAUCUACAGGAGAUCGAGCAGGCUCCCCAUGGCCCCUGGUACCCGCGCGCUGCAGCGUCUCCUUCCCGUUCUCCAGGUGUCUGCGGAGCCACUCCAUGCAGGUGCCCUCCAGGCAUACUGCUCAUACCCGCGGAGGAGACGCCCGUCGGGCCCCAGGUCGCAGCCAAACAUUCCCUGGAGGAUGUGAUACCCUGGCCCAGUUCCCGCGGUCAGCCCCGCCCACCGAGCCCUGGCCCGGCCCCUAGCAACCUGCGGAGAUUUUGGCCUCAACUGAAGAUGAAACCAGUUUCCAAUGAUCAGAAAUCCAGGAGAGGUUUCCCUGAGUGCUUCUGGCUCAGGGCCUCUCACAAGGUUGCAGUCCAGUUGUCAGCCUAGGCCUGCAUCAUCUGAGGACUUCACUGAGCAAGGCCAUAGAGGAGUCCUCGAGCUACAAUUGGCCAUCAGAGGAGUCCCCUGUCUCCUAGGAAUGUCCUGCCUUAGUGUCACUGGGGUACACUCCUUUGGAAACCAGAACCUCGUAUCCUGCACAGCCCAGUGUUGGGAGAUAAAAUAUGCGAAAUACCCCAUUGAGUGAAUCUAAGAGAUUGGACAUGGAGCCAAACCUGCUUCCGCCUUUUGAUUUCUGGACACACAUGUUCUUCCUAUUGAGAACACAGAACUCUAGAGACGUCUCUGAUUCAAACAAUGCACUGUGUCCUGAAAGAUGGCACCCACCCCUCAGAGUGCUUCCUCCAGGCUGGCACUGAGUUGUGCCUGUAGAAGACCUGUCCAGCCUUCCUUGUGGCUGGCAGCUCCUGGGUAGUGCAGAUGGUGAUAGGAUUAGUGGAACCCACAGCCGUGGAAACACUGAAACUUUCCCUGCAAAGUGGGUCCUUCAGGCAGAUAAUGGGCUAGGAGCACUGCCUAGCCUGCAGACCAGGAAUGUCAACAGCACCCAGAGAGUGGUGCUGGCUGUGUCUGAGAGCAGGACAGGAAAACCCACCCAUAGAAUCGGUACCUAACCCUGUGAAGAUGAAACUCUGGCCCUUCCAGGUUGGAAGUAGCUAAAUGUAGUCAACUUGUUACUUAGUGGGUAGUCAUGUAAAGAAAUAGUGCCCCACUAGGGCACAUCAUGGGCCUCAAUUGCUGAUGAGUUGGACAUUCAGAGGUGGCAGCAGCUGGAUCUGCCUUGGUGUGGGGAAGUCAGUGCUGCUGGCCCCUUACGGAGCCUCAUGCCUGCCACUGUGGUUGCUCCAUUCAUGCACUCAUCCUACCAGGCCUGGGCUGACCCAUGGUGAAAGCUGGCUAACUGCCAUUUGUCUGUUUGGUAGUUCAGUGCCACUUCAGACUUGGGUGUUUUCUGUGGGUGUCAGCAAGGGAUUCAAGCUCAACCCAGGUGGACUGUUUUCACCUGAUGAUGAAUGCUGUUGGGCCUGUACCAUCUAUGACUUUGUGGGUCACACAGGCACUUGGAACCCCGUAGUUGCUUGGUAUCCCGUGGUCAAACAUUCUAUUGAAUCAGGACAAGGAACACUAAAAGUUGCUUCUAACAGGGGGCAUGUGUCUCUGCUGUGGAUGACAUGAUCUUACUCCAGAAUCCCAGGCCCUCCACUGUGACUCUCCCACUGGUGCUUGGUUCAGCUCCAUCCUGUGUCUUUCCCCACCACUGGCACCACCAGCCCCAGGGGUCUGAGGGAUGGUGGCUGCUUGUACCAUGGCCUGGAUCUGCUGCAGGGUCCUUUCCUGUGUAGGCCCCACUUGAAGCUGGCAUCCUCCUAUGUCACCUAGACUGUGGGCCAAAGCAAAAUGUCUAGAUGUGGAAUGUGGUGUUGUUAUAAUUCAAAGAGGCUCACCAAGCAGUGUGCUUCCUUGCUUCUGGUGAGGAUGCAAGAUGCAACAGUUUUUCUUUUACCUUGGAGGGGACACACCUGCAUUCCCCUAAACACUUGGCACUUGUUCACCCAUAAAACUUCACUUCAGUGCCCACCUUUGAAGCUGUAUAAGGUUUAUCUUCACCUUGUGGGGUGCGUGUGUUUUGCAAAGGACUACAGUGCACUUUCUUCCUGCUGCUCAUCUACUCCAGUCAACAUGAAGUUGUCAAUGAAAUGUGCUGAUUUAAUAUCCUAAAGGAUAUGCAGUAUGUCCAGUACAGUCUUAAGCCUAUACUAUAGAGGGCACAGGUGUUACAAUAGCCCUGAGGCAAACAAUAAAUAAAUGUGUCGUUGAUUCCA
This 3283-nucleotide long non-coding RNA is filed under the name Homo sapiens (human). Its description in RNAcentral is "non-protein coding lnc-RNF39-4:27". The record is from RNAcentral. Lineage: Eukaryota; Metazoa; Chordata; Mammalia; Primates; Hominidae.